Long non-coding RNA from Bactrocera neohumeralis, 2290 nucleotides. RefSeq lists it as uncharacterized. The transcript is spliced from 2 exons. The record is from RefSeq and is a predicted model, not a curated record. NCBI's taxonomy places the organism in Eukaryota, Metazoa, Arthropoda, Insecta, Diptera, Tephritidae.
AUUUAUAUACAUACAUACAUAUUUAUUUGCAGACCUUUAAAAGAAUAGAUAACAUGUUAAAAGGCCAAGCGGUCGCACAUAUUCACGUAUGUAUGUAAUUAUGUGAGCAUGUAAACAAAUUUGCAAGAACCAUACGCAUAAUGUUUGUAAAUUUGUCUACUCACAACCUUGUAUGUAAAUGUGUACACUUAUUUCCUCAUGCGAAGCUGGGGACAACCAAUGGCCGAAGCUCACAUUUUGUCAAAGAGUCAUUGUGUCGAAAGACUGACGCGACGACAAAGCGUCAAAACAUUGUGUUGUUGGUAGAAAAUCCGAACUGUGCCGAAAACACAAACGAACGAUCGUCAAUUGCCACUGCUUGUGACAGCUUCUCCAACAAACCAGCGUAAAUAUGUAUGUUUAUGUAUGAGCUUGCAUACAUAUCGACACAUAGCAUUGCUAACGUGAUCGACGAUUAUCGUGGAUUGGUCAAAGUUGUUGCUGAUACGAGAAUUGAAUUCGAAAUCUAUGAAAAAACUGCUUUAAAUAUUUCAGAGGUAAAAGAAUAUAAAAUGACAGUUUCUAGAAAAAGAAAGAGAAAAUUACAUGCUGAUGAAUCACGGGAUGGAGAUGUACAACUGUCAGGUCGAGACCACUUUAGAGUCAACACUUUUAAUGUCAUUCUUGACAAUCUGGAUUCUGAAUUGCGAGAAAGAUGUGUUGCAGAUGAAAAGAUUCAUGAAAAGUUCUCAGUUAUUAUUGAAUUUGGUAAUUUGGAUAAUAGAGAGAUUCGUAACCGAGCUAAAUGUAUACAAAAUGUUUACUCUUCAGAUCUUGAGUCCUCAUUGGAGGACGAAUUUGUGCACUGUCAUGCUUAUUGCAUUGCAAAAAAGAUGGAACAAAAUUCACCUUCCGAUAUUCUGAAACUUUUGCGUGCAAACGACCUUUAUACAGAGUUUCCGAACGUAGAAAUAAACUCAAUAGCUUAGCUAUUUAUGCAUCGAAUCAGAUGUACUUCAACGUUUACAUAGAUUGUGAAGAUUUAAUCGACCAAUUUGCAAUUCAAAAAGUUAGACGUGUUUGCCAGUGAAAAAAAUUAUUGUGAUACAAUUAUUAGUCAAGCUCAGUGCAAAAUUUGUAGUUUUAAGAACAAGAACCUAUAUUUUUUAUAUUAUACUGAAGUAUUAUAUAUGUAUGUAUAUAAUAAAUUAUUUGCAAUACGUUAAAUCAGCCCUAUUCUGCAUUUCUACUCGAAUCGAAAUUUUCUCCGAUUGGCAACUUUGGUAUUCUGCGUUUCGAUUCAACUUCGAAAAUUCCAAUUCUAUGUAUUCUGCAUUGCGAUCGUAAUUACGUUUUUGUACGUUGAAGUUUUGUCGGCGGAAAGCCGUUAUAUAUUCAUUUUCGUGCACUUGGAUAAAAUAAUUUCCUCAAAUAUGUAAGUAAAACUUUAUGAUUAUAGUUGUAAAAGACAUAAUGGUGGUGUCCUUGGUUGUUUGUGCUUAAAUUAUAUUUUUUGAUAUGUUUGCAGGUCAAAAGUAACAACGGCAGAGCAAUACGAAAAAUUGUGUGAUAUGAUGGCCACGGAAAGAGAUAUUGCGCAGGGCUUCCAAAAGCGACCGAAGGAAGAAGUACAGGAGUUUUGGGAGGAGGUUGCAAGGAAUUUAAAUGCACUUGGCCCACCAACAAAAGAUUCCAAUACAUGGAGGUCUGGAUUGACUGAAAAUGCUACAUGAAGCGAAAAUUAUCGCAUAACAAAAAAGAAAGGAUGAGCACCGGUGGAGGUCCUUGUCGUUUACAACGCAUAAGCCCACUUGAUGAAAAGGUGAUAGCUUUGACGGGUUUGGAAAGGGAUGAUAUCCCUUCAACCAGUAGAGCUAGCAGCCAAAAUAGAGAGGCUAGAGCAGACAAUCAGAGCACUUCUUCAUUACUUAAGCAACAGAUACAAAUCAAAAAGAAUUUUAUGCAGAGACGAAAAAAUUCAAUGAAGCUGCCUUUGGUAAAAUGGAAGAAGUUACUUCAUAUUUACGGCACAUGAAUCGUUCUCUAGAAACUUUGGCGGAGACUGCAGUGAAGCAACUUGAAGAACAGAAGCGACACAACAGAAUUAAGGAAGAGCUGGUGAAGGAAAAAGUAGAAAUAAAAAUGCAAAUGCUAAGAUUAGAUCCAAAUUAUAAGCCGGAUUCAAAGUAGUAAUUUUUUAAUUGUUAGCCUUUUAUUUAUUUUACUAUUAUUCAUUUAUAUAACAAGCUGUGAAAUGAAAUAAAAGCAUUUACUUUUCUAAUAUAGGAGCUGUAAAAUGCACUGAAUGCAA